RNAcentral lists this ribosomal RNA (1235 nucleotides) under metagenome. Its description in RNAcentral is "bacterial LSU rRNA". It matches the Rfam family "Bacterial large subunit ribosomal RNA", at positions 1564 to 2808 of the family's 2925-position model. The record is from RNAcentral.
UGAGUACGAGACGCUAAGGCGUCGAAGUAGUGGAUGUCAUACUUCCAAGAAAAGCUUGCACUGUCAUAGAUAAAAAAUGCCUGUACCAUAACCGACACAGGUGGGUAAGUAGAGUAUACUAAGGGGCGCGAGAUAACUCUCUCUAAGGAACUCGGCAAAAUAACUCCGUAACUUCGGGAGAAGGAGUGCCUUAUUCUUAAGGUUGCAAUAACAAGAUCCAAGCAACUGUUUAUCAAAAACACAGGUCUCCGCUAAGUCGUAAGACGAUGUAUGGGGGCUGACGCCUGCCCAGUGCCAGAAGGUUAAAGAAGUCGGUUAGCAAUAGCAAAGCUGGUAACUGAAGCCCUGGUGAACGGCGGCCGUAACUAUAACGGUCCUAAGGUAGCGAAAUUCCUUGUCGGGUAAGUUCCGACCCGCACGAAAGGCGUAAUGAUUUGGAUGCUGUCUCGGAGAGGGGCUCGGUGAAAUAGACUUGUCUGUGAAGAUGCGGACUACCUGCACCAGGACAGAAAGACCCUAUGAAGCUUUACUGUAACUUGAAAUUGAAAUUGGACUUUAUUCGCGCAGUAUAGGUGGGAGGCGUUGAUUAUAAUCUUGUGGGAUUAUUGGAGCCAUCAGUGAGAUACCACUCUUGUAAUGUUAGAUUUCUAACUUUGAAUCAUUAUCUGGUCAAAGGACAGUUUCAGGCGGGCGGUUUGACUGGGGCGGUCGCCUCCUAAACGGUAACGGAGGCGUACAAAGGUUUCCUCUGAACGGUUAGAAAUCGUAUCUAGAGUGUAAAGGCAUAAGGAAGCUUGACUGUGAGACCUACAAGUCGAGCAGGGACGAAAGUCGGUCUUAGUGAUCUGACGGUACUGAGUGGAAAGGCCGUCACUCAACGGAUAAAAGUUACUCUAAGGAUAACAGGCUGAUCUCCCCCAAGAGUUCACAUCGACGGGGAGGUUUGGCACCUCGAUGUCGGCUCAUCGCAUCCUGGGGCGGUAGUACGUCCCAAGGGUUGGGCUGUUCGCCCAUGAAAGCGGUACGCGAGCUGGGUUCAGAACGUCGUGAGACAGUUCGGUCCAUAUCCGGUGUAGGCGCUAGAAUAUUGAGAGGAGCCUUCUUUAGUACGAGAGGACCGAGAAGGACAUACCUCUGGUGUACCAGUUAUCGUGCCAACGGUAAACGCUGGGUAGCUAUGUAUGGAGUGGAUAACCGCUGAAAGCAUCUAAGUGGGAAGCCCACCUCAAGAUAAG